AUGGACGGAAGUCUGAACCAGCCAAGUAGCGUGCAGGAUUGACGGCCCUAUGGGUUGUAAACUGCUUUUGUUGGGGAGUAAAGUGGGGCACGCCGUUGCCUUUUUGCAUUUACCCUUCGAAAUAAGGACCGGCUAAUUCCGUGCCAGCCAGCCCGCGGUAAUACGGAAGGUCCAGGCGUUAUCCGGAAUUAAUUGGGUUUAAAGGGAGUUGUAGGCGGUCUGUUAAGCGUGUUGUGAAAUUUAGGUGCUCAACAUCUACCUUGCAGCGCGAACUGGCGGACUUGAGUGCACGCAACGUAUGCGGAAUUCAUGGUGUAGCGGUGAAAUGCUUAGAUAUCAUGACGAACUCCGAUUGCGAAGGCAGCGUACGGGAGUGUUACUGACGCUUAAGCUCGAAGGUGCGGGUAUCGAACAGGAUUAGAUACCCUGGUAGUCCGCACGGUAAACGAUGGAUGCCCGCUGUUAGCGCCUGGCGUUAGCGGCUAAGCGAAAGCAUUAAGCAUCCCACCUGGGGGAGUACGCCGGCAACGGUGAAACUCAAGAAUUGACGGGGCCGCACAGCGAGACUGUGUUA
This 574-nucleotide ribosomal RNA is filed under the name Prevotella intermedia. RNAcentral describes it as "bacterial SSU rRNA". It matches the Rfam family "Bacterial small subunit ribosomal RNA", at positions 371 to 942 of the family's 1533-position model. Lineage: Bacteria; Pseudomonadati; Bacteroidota; Bacteroidia; Bacteroidales; Prevotellaceae. The record is from RNAcentral.